RNAcentral lists this microRNA precursor (61 nucleotides) under Sphenodon punctatus (tuatara). Its description in RNAcentral is "Spt-Mir-148-P4_pre stem-loop". Lineage: Eukaryota; Metazoa; Chordata; Lepidosauria; Sphenodontia; Sphenodontidae. The record is from RNAcentral.
GGAGUUCUGUUGUACACUCAGACUGUGGCUAUGGGAAGGUCAGUGCAUCACAGAACUUUGU